RNAcentral lists this ribosomal RNA (497 nucleotides) under uncultured bacterium. RNAcentral's name for it is "partial 16S ribosomal RNA". It matches the Rfam family "Bacterial small subunit ribosomal RNA", at positions 28 to 507 of the family's 1533-position model. The record is from RNAcentral.
GAUGAACGCUGGCGGCGUGCCUAAUACAUGCAAGUCGAGCGAACAGACGAGGAGCUUACUCCUCUGACGUUAGCGGCGGACGGGUGAGUAACACGUGGAUAACCUACCUAUAAGACUGGGAUAACUUCGGGAAACCGGAGCUAAUACCGGAUAACAUGUUGAACCGCAUGGUUCAAUAGUGAAAGACGGUUUUGCUGUCACUUAUAGAUGGAUCCGCGUCGCAUUAGCUAGUUGGUAAGGUAACGGCUUACCAAGGCAACGAUGCGUAGCCGACCUGAGAGGGUGAUCGGCCACCCUUGAACUGAGACACGGUCCAGACUCCUACGGGAGGCAGCAGUAGGGAAUCUUCCGCAAUGGGCGAAAGCCUGACGGAGCAACGCCGCGUGAGUGAAGAAGGUCUUCGGAUCGUAAAACUCUGUUAUUAGGGAAGAACAAAUGUGUAAGUAACUAUGCACGUCUUGACGGUACCUAAUCAGAAAGCCACGGCUAACUACGUG